This 998-nucleotide long non-coding RNA is filed under the name Canis lupus dingo (dingo). Its description in RNAcentral is "lncRNA (ENSCAFG00020019739.1)". The record is from RNAcentral. Lineage: Eukaryota; Metazoa; Chordata; Mammalia; Carnivora; Canidae.
AUGUUUACUUUUGAAAUCUAUUUUAGGCUCAUUGCUUGUUUGAGGAUUCUAAUGACAAUUUCCCUUUGUGUUUUGGCUUGCAGAGUGUUCUUUGUCCCACGAUUGGCGAAUGUUCUUUCGUUAGGGGUUCAGACACCAAUGCCAUUUCUUCAGAGCAUUGUCUACACCUGCAUAGGGUUUGUAAAGAUGAAAAAAAUGCAUGACACACAUCACCAAGAAUCAGGGGUUGUGCCUGGCAAUGCAAUUGAGAAAAGCUUUGGAAUGAACUCCCCCUGGGCAGUGGUCUCUGCCUUCUGUUACAGAAGACGGCAAAAAUAGGAGCCGGUGUACCUCUGGCCAAUUAUUCAAUGCUCCAUCACAAGGGGAAAUUCCUUCCUCACCCCAGCUGGUGAACAGUUAUGCCCUGGAGCCCAGGACGGACAUGCCUUGUAACUUUUUAACCUGGUUAGUGUAACUGCCAAUAUUAUUCCUAUUCAUAUAAAUGUCUAAUCCUUUCUUGAAUCUUGCUAGACUAUUUGCCUCAAUAAUAUCCUGCGGCAGUGAAUUCCACAGGUAGAUUAUACGCCGUUUUAAAAAGUAUUUCCUUUUAUUCAUUUUAAAUUUGUUACCUUUUAAUGUCACAAGAUGUCCCUUGUUCUUGCAUUAAGGGCUACAGGGUACAGGCAUUGGAAAUUCAGCUUUAAUUUUUCGAAGCAUUCCACCAUUAUUAAAGCUCCAUCUUCUUCAUAUUGUUUCCUAUUUUGGCAUAUCUGAUCUUGAUUCAAUGAGAUGAUUGAGGUAAAUGGUCUCAUACUACUUCAGACACAUAGUAGGCACUAGAAGAAAGGUCUCCUUGAUAUUUGAUGCCAUUUAUUGGACACAUGUUUAUUGAGCACCUACUGUGUGCGGGAAUUGUAAAUAUUGGAGAGACAGCUUUGAGUGAGACAGAGUCCUUGUUCUGAAAGCUCUAAUUUUCUAGAGAAGAUAAGCACCAAUAAAGUGAAUAAGGAUGAACUACA